AGGACGAACGCUGGCGGCGUGCUUAACACAUGCAAGUCGAGCGGUAAGGCCUUUCGGGGUACACGAGCGGCGAACGGGUGAGUAACACGUGGGUGAUCUGCCCUGCACUCUGGGAUAAGCCUGGGAAACUGGGUCUAAUACCGGAUAUGACCUGCUCUCGCAGUGGGGGUGGGUGGAAAGUAUUUAUCGGUGCAGGAGU
Molecule: ribosomal RNA, 199 nt
Filed under: uncultured soil bacterium
Lineage: Bacteria
Description: partial 16S ribosomal RNA
Rfam family: Bacterial small subunit ribosomal RNA
Source: RNAcentral